CAGUAGCCACGGUAAUACGAAGGGUGCAAGCGUUAAUCGGAAUUACUGGGCGUAAAGCGUGCGUAGGCGGCUUCUUAAGUCGGAUGUGAAAUCCCUGAGCUUAACUUAGGAAUUGCAUUCGAUACUGGGAAGCUAGAGUAUGGGAGAGGAUGGUAGAAUUCCAGGUGUAGCGGUGAAAUGCGUAGAGAUCUGGAGGAAUACCGAUGGCGAAGGCAGCCAUCUGGCCUAAUACUGACGCUGAGGUACGAAAGCAUGGGGAGCAAACAGGAUUAGAUACCCCGGUAGUCCCUGUCUCUUAUAC
RNAcentral lists this ribosomal RNA (301 nucleotides) under uncultured bacterium. RNAcentral's name for it is "partial 16S ribosomal RNA". It matches the Rfam family "Bacterial small subunit ribosomal RNA", at positions 509 to 807 of the family's 1533-position model. The record is from RNAcentral.